Molecule: long non-coding RNA, 1375 nt
Organism: Larimichthys crocea (large yellow croaker)
Lineage: Eukaryota; Metazoa; Chordata; Actinopteri; Sciaenidae
Exons: 3
Source: RefSeq, a predicted model, not a curated record
UGAUCAAAGAUUAUCGCAGAACAAAAGACAUUUUUUUUUAAAUCUAAACUGGAAGAGGAUGAUGUUUUCAGUUGAUUACUGGAAUGUUCCGUUCAGUUACAGAGAUUUUCCAUUUGCCCACACAGUGAAAGAAAAACAUCCCCAACUGUUCAUCAUUCCCCUCAUUGUCAUACCUGAAAUCAACCAUCUUUAUCUAGAGACAGCAAGCCAAUGAACUCCAGACCAUCUUUAUAAUCUCUUAAGAACUUCAUCUACAGCAGGCACGUCAACGGCAAGAGCCUGUUUUUAUGCAAUAUUUUCACCACGGGUCAGAAAUUGGACCUCCUGAGCAGUGCCUCAUUCUGGGGAGGGAAAAAAACAGGAAAAACCCACAAGUAAAAGGCCACUGUACAGUGAAAUGUGAACUGGAGACUUUGACAGAGAAAAGAUGAGCUGCUGAUGUGUCUCCCUCUGGCAGGUGGUGGAGGAUCAGGUCUUGUGAUGUUCCUGACCUAAUAUGGCCAGGUCUGGACUAUCAGCUGAGAAUCAGGUGCUUGCUAAAUAUUCAGGAGGAUGAAGACGCCCUGCUGGGCUGAGGCAUGCAUCAACAGGCUUGGCUCAGGGUGUCUUGUCUCUGUCUUACAGUGAGGAAAUAUAACUAAGUACUAUAAUGUAUUACUAUAUUACUAUACUAUACAUAAGUACAAGUACUAAACUUAAGCACAUUUUUUAUGUAUUUCAAUUUUAGGCUACUUCAUACUCCACCAUAUAACAGAAGGAAAUAUUAUACUUUCCAUGUGAAACACAUCAUGAUUUUUUUUUAAUAUGUUGCUUAAGAUUAAAACACCCAUCUGUUAUAAAAAUUAGGUUCAUACUGUGUUUCAGAUGUCUUGACUCAUAUGAUGUGUACAUAUGUUCCUACUCCUCACAUGUUCUGUUUUCCCUUCUCUAAUAAGAUUUUGUUGCUAAGGCUGGCAGGGUAAGGUAAAGUCCAGGUUAAUAUAUAAAUAGAAGAAAUCCAGAACAGAAUAAGGGCCAGGGACAGGUCAGAGAGGUGACAUUUAAAUUGGGGAAAUGCUAACUAUUAAAGGACAUUAAGAAGACUUAUGAUGUUAUUUGUAUCUAUGGGGAGGGGUCCGAGACAGCCCAUUAGAGAGUUUAUAAGAACCAACUGUUAGAGCUCCACGGCGAGCCUUUUUCUCUGUAACCCCUUUUGUGUGUUGCACUGUGAAACGCUCCUUCUUGUACAAGAAUAAACUCUUCAACUUCGAAUCCAGUCCUUCUUAUUAAAGGGUCAUUUGAAAAUUUUUAUAUUAAAUUGUUAAAAUAAGCUUGACAACAUUAAAUGCGUAAUAUGCAAAUGCAUCAUUACAACUACUGCAUGAUCAGUAUAACA